RNAcentral lists this long non-coding RNA (1275 nucleotides) under Marmota monax (woodchuck). The record is from RNAcentral. Lineage: Eukaryota; Metazoa; Chordata; Mammalia; Rodentia; Sciuridae.
GAUUAGUUAAAACAAAAUUAAGUAAAAAAUAGAAUAUGUAUCAAGGGAGAAUGGGAUAUGAAUGAAGUUUGGGAAGCACUGGAUUAUCUGAUUUAAGGUUCUUCAGAACAUAAUUUGAAAACAACCCUAUGAUUUAACUUCAGUUUACCAAUAACUUCAGUGAGAAAGUAUAUCAUUUUACUAAUGAAGAUAGAAUUCAGGGCUGAGGGUGUAGUUGAAGGGUAGAGUGGUUCCUUAGCAUGCACAGAGUCCUGAACUCUAAAACAACAAAACAGGUUCAGCAAAGAAGUAAGUAUCUUGUCCCAAAUUACACAGCUAGUGACAAGACCUAAGUCUAUCUGAUUCCCAAAACCACCUCCUUACCAAAUCUGGAAGUAAGACAGAGCUGGGGAAUGGAACAGAAAAGACUGAAACAAUUAGACCAAAACAUGUGAGUGCUUGGUUGACUAAGUUGUCCUGAGUACCGCUUUAAACAAAUAUUCAAGUAUUUCUAUAAAACAACUUAAUUUAUGACCCUAAACAGAAAUCCUAACUCAAGUCACCAUUGGGCUUUCUUCCUUUGAACUUCCUCACCUGGAAGGUGUUCUCUGGGUUUCCAGCAUGUGUGUGAGUGAGUGGAGUCUAAUCAUAGGUCAUUGUGGUUGCUGUUGGCUUCAUUGUCCAAGCCCACAAUCCCUAGCUUCUGGCCUGUACAACAUGUGGGCACUAAAAUCUCUGGACUGGCUAGGACUCUGUACAUAGGGUCCCAUAUUUCCUAGAAUGUUAGCCAGCCACCUGCUCUCUGGUUUGGCACUUCCCAGGACCACAGCCAUGGGGUAUGAACCAGGGCUCCCUCUCUUUCCUUACUGGCCAGGGACUUUCUCAUCCCUUGCUGUGCUAACCAAGACCCUCUGCCUCCACAUUCAAACCAUACUCUAUGUCUUAUCCUUCACUAUGGGCUUUAACAGCACGUUAAACUCACAACUCAUUUCUAGUAGAUCUAGUUUCCUUUUCCAGAGAAAGCUUAAUUUAAAAAUAUAUUUAUUUUUUAGUUGUAGUUGGACACAAUACCUUUAUUUUAUUUAUUUAUCUUUGUGGUGCUGAGGAUCGAAUCUGGGGUCUCCCGCAUACUAGGCUAGCCUUGUGCUGCUGAGCCACAACCUCAGCCUGACAGCUUAAUUUUUAACCCUUUCAAAACUGUUGCCUAUAGGGGCUAAUGUUCUUCAUCAACCUGGAUGAGAACCUCAACCUACUCCAAGUAAUUAUAUGAUAUUUGUGUACCAUAUCAAACAAAAU